This 560-nucleotide ribosomal RNA is filed under the name uncultured microeukaryote. RNAcentral's name for it is "SSU rRNA". It matches the Rfam family "Eukaryotic small subunit ribosomal RNA", at positions 4 to 568 of the family's 1831-position model. The record is from RNAcentral.
CUGGUUGAUCCUGCCAGUAGUCAUAUGCUUGUCUCAAAGAUUAAGCCAUGCAUGUCUAAGUAUAAGCAAUUAUACAGCGAAACUGCGAAUGGCUCAUUAUAUAAGUUAUCGUUUAUUUGAUAGUACCUUACUACUUGGAUAACCGUGGUAAUUCUAGAGCUAAUACAUGCUGAAAAUCCCGACUUCGGAAGGGAGGUAUUUAUUAGAUUAAAAACCAAUGCCCUCUGGGCUCCUUGGUGAUUCAUAAUAACUUUUCGAAUCGCACGGCCUUGCGCCGGCGAUGGUUCAUUCAAAUUUCUUCCCUAUCAACUUUCGAUGUUUGGGUAUUGGCCAAACAUGGUCGCAACGGGUAACGGAGGGUUAGGGCUCGACCCCGGAGAAGGAGCCUUAGAAACGGCUACCACAUCCAAGGAAGGCAGCAGGCGCGUAAAUUACCCAAUCCUGAUACAGGGAGGUAGUGACAAUAAGGGGGCGAUGCUCUGGCUCUUUGAGUCGGGCAAUUGGAAUGAGAACAAUUUAAAUCUCUUAACGAGGAACAAUUGGAGGGCAAGUCUGGUAAU